RNAcentral lists this ribosomal RNA (530 nucleotides) under Metagrion sp. RMNH INS 502093. RNAcentral describes it as "partial 16S ribosomal RNA". It matches the Rfam family "Bacterial large subunit ribosomal RNA", at positions 1830 to 2619 of the family's 2925-position model. The record is from RNAcentral. Lineage: Eukaryota; Metazoa; Arthropoda; Insecta; Odonata; Argiolestidae.
GUCCUCUUGAUUUUGUAGGAGGUUUGGCCUGCCCGGUGAAAUUUUUAACGGCCGCGGUAUUCUGACCGUGCAAAGGUAGCAUAAUCAUUAGUCUUUUAAUAGAAGGCUGGAAUGAAGGGCUUAACGAGGUAAUAACUGUCUCAUUUAAAUAGAUUAGAAUUUAACUUUUAAGUUAAAAGGCUUAAAUGUUAUUGGAAGACGAGAAGACCCUAUAGAGCUUUACAUUUAGUGUCUUUAACUUAUUAUUAGUUUAUGAAUAAAUGUUAUUGUAGUAAGUGUUUUGUUGGGGUGACAAAAAUAUUUGAUUAACUUUUAUAUCUAUUUUACAUUAAUUUAUGAUUAUCAGAUCCAUUAUUAUUGAUUAUUAGAAUAAGUUACCUUAGGGAUAACAGCGUAAUCCUCUUUUGGAGUUCAAAUUUACAAGGGGGCUUGCGACCUCGAUGUUGGAUUAAGAUAAUAGUUAGGUGUAGCAGCUUAAUUUAUAGGUCUGUUCGACCUUUAAAUUCUUACAUGAUCUGAGUUCAGACCGG